This 2332-nucleotide long non-coding RNA is filed under the name Capra hircus (goat). RNAcentral's name for it is "lncRNA (ENSCHIG00010009152.1)". The record is from RNAcentral. Lineage: Eukaryota; Metazoa; Chordata; Mammalia; Artiodactyla; Bovidae.
GUCCACGGGGUCGCAAAGAGUCGGACACGACUGAGUGACUUCACUUCACUCAACACUUGCUGCCCUGCAUUAAUAAUACACCGGUAGCCAACAAAAGCAUUUUCCCUUUGUCCAACUGGGGCCCCAAGACAACAUUUAAACGACCCGAAAUCACUCCCUCUGUAUGAAAGACUAACGGCCUCGGUUUCUUGGUCCAGGUGGACUCUGGGCACCUCUGCGGUUCUCCGACCAGGACCCCAGGCUUACACACACGCCUCGCCAACCCGUUCCUACCACACUGAAGCCCCUAGCCGGCAGCACGUAUACUUCAGCUUCUGCAACGAGAAUAAGGAUGCGACCCUGAAGGCAUUCGAAAAGAAAGGGUCACGAGGCCUCAGAGCCGGUCCGAGGAAUCCCAGGUCAGCGAGGCUGAAGCCGUGCAAGCGCCGGAAGAACCAGUUCCCUUGCCCCGACAGACCCGAGUCAUGUCACCCAGGGGCCGCGGCCCCGCUACUCCGGGGUCCUUCCCCUCCGCAGGUCGUGCCUCGGCCCAGCCCCGGGGCCGCGGUCCCGGGUCUGCAUGGACACGGCCCCACCACUUGAGCCAACGGCCCCCGGAAAAGCUAGACAGCCUUUCUAGGGCUUCAUGCGCGGCCUCAGCCGCCACAGGGUUGAAACUCACGCCUGAGGGGCCGGGGGAGAGACGGGAGCCAGCGGGAACCACGCGUUGGCCUUUACCUGGAAGAUGGCGGUUCCGGCCGAAAAGAAGGAGGCGGGGCCGCGCAUGCGCCUUUCAAGGGCCUGUGGGCUGCCCACGGCGCUGCCUGAAGAAACGCCGAUCGACAGCCAUUCUUUCCUGGGGAGUGAGGUCAUCGUCCCUGAGGACGAGGAGAGCCUGUGAGGAUAGUAUCCUUUCUUGCGAAAAAGAGGGCGAGGUAAUCGACCGACACAGGCUGACACUUGGCUCUUGCCAGACAGCCCGGAAAGGGGCCUUCAAGGGGGUCCAACGGGCGCCGACGUCCCUAGCGUGUUGACGUCAUCACCUGCGUCAGACGCCACGCCGGGUGCGGGCGUGUACGUGCGUCCUCGGGCAGCACCCGGGCGCGCGAGGUUAUAGGUCUGUGCUCCCUGCCGCAGUCUGUGGGGAUGGCUAUGUGUGCAGAAAAGGCAGGCUAUAGUGAAGAAAGCGUAUUGUCCGGUUUGUACGUGUUUCAAACUUUUUUUUUUCUUAAUGCGUAAAAGCAUACUACACAUCUGGUAGGUUCGUGCGUGUUACAACCACUUUGAAAAGCCACAGGGCAAAAUCUAGUGAAACGGAAGAUGUAGGAAUAAUCAGAUUCCGGGGAUUUCCCUGACGGUCCAGUGGCUGGGACCCCCGCUUUCCCAAUGCAGGGGUCCCUGGUUCCAUCCCUGGUGGAGGAUCUAGAUUCCCAUCUGCCGCAUCUUGUGUUGCAACUAAAGAUUCCGCAGGUUUUUAAGGAUCCUGCUAAGGCCCUAAGAUGGAGGGGGGGGAGGGGUGGUAUUUUUAGUUGUUGGCCGUUACAAUCACUCCCUUCCAGCUCCCACAGGUCAUCUUUCCUUUCUUAAGAUUUUCCUUGCUAAGGCUCCUUGGAUAAACGCAGCCUCUGCCGUCUCCCUGACCGCAUCUCCACAGUUGAGCGUCGUCCUCGGCUGCACACAGGCCAACUGCAGUCACUAUAAUAAGUCAUAUCUGGGCUGUAGUUUGCACACACGGACUUUGUUUUGUUCAACAGAUAGCAGUGUUAAGCCAUGUGGCUCAGAUGGUGAGGAAUCUGUCUGGAAUCCGCCUGCAAUGCGGGAGGCCUGGGUUCGAUCGCUGGGUCGGGAAGAUGCCCAGGAGGAGGGCAUGGCAACCCACUCCAUUAUCCUUGGGUAGGGAAUCCCAUGGCGGACUAGAGUCCAUAGGGUCACAACUGAGAGUCAGACAUUACUGAGCGACUAGCACACGCACCCACACACACANNNNNNNNNNNNNNNNNNNNNNNNNNNNNNNNNNNNNNNNNNNNNNNNNNNNNNNNNNNNNNNNNNNNNNNNNNNNNNNNNNNNNNNNNNNNNNNNNNNCACACACACACACGAUUUUAGUUAACUUAAAAAAAAAAAAAAAAACCAUCCUGGGAGUUCCCUGAUGGUCCAGUGGUCAGGACUCUGAGUCCUCUGCAGGGGGCAUGGAUUCGAACCUUGGUCUGGGAACUAAGAUCCUGCACUUCAGUUUAGUCGUGUCCAGCUCUUUGAUACCCGAUGAACUGCAGCACUCCAGGCUUCCCUGUCCAUCACCAACUCCGAGAGCUUGCUGAAACUCAUGUCCAUCAAGUUGGUGAUGCCAUCCAACCAU